Molecule: ribosomal RNA, 553 nt
Filed under: Tritia pellucida
Lineage: Eukaryota; Metazoa; Mollusca; Gastropoda; Neogastropoda; Nassariidae
Description: partial 12S ribosomal RNA
Source: RNAcentral
CGCGGUUAUACCAAGUGAUUAAGUUAUAUUCCUAGGUAAAAAGACAGUUAGGUUUAGAAAUGAAUUUAGUUUAUUGACCACUUAUAAAAAAGUAAAAUUUGUAUAUAAGUAGCUAAUCUAGAAAUAGCUAGAUUAAAUGCUGAAGCUGUGAUAGUCUUGAGGGAAACUGGGAUUAGAUACCCCAUUAUUCUUGACUGUAAAUAUAAUUAGACUUACCAGAGUACUAUGAAUAGUUAAAAAUUUAAAACUCAAAGGGCUUGGCGGUGUUUUAGACCUAUCAGGGGAACCUGUCUCAUAAUCGACAAUCCACGUUAUAUCUAACCUUACUUUGUACCCAGUUUGUAUACCGUCGUCGUCAGGUAACUUUUAAAAACAUAGAAGUUAGCACCAAAAAUUGUGUAAAUUAAGACGUCAGAUCAAGGUGCAACCUAUAGUAAGGAGAGGAUGGGUUACAAUUAUUAGAUUUAUAAUUACGGAAAUUUAAAUGAAAUCAUAUUUUGAAGGAGGACUUGAAAGUAAACUAGAAUAUAUAAAUAGUUUGAAUAAGGCUCUG